GCAAUGGACAGAACAAAAACAGAAUUUUUUGUACCUCACUAAACCACAGCACAACUUUUUGUCCGCAGUACAAGUUGUCUAAAAUGCCAAAAUACCAUUUUAUUAACAAAAUAUCGUAUAAGACAAAAAAAUGUUCAAUAUCCCAAAAGUUUGUUCUGUGCUGUUCUGUCAUGUGUUGUGCUGUUCUGUCUUGUAGUGUUCUGU
RNAcentral lists this long non-coding RNA (204 nucleotides) under Trifolium pratense (red clover). Its description in RNAcentral is "long non-coding RNA (TPRA_LNC014229)". The record is from RNAcentral. Lineage: Eukaryota; Viridiplantae; Streptophyta; Magnoliopsida; Fabales; Fabaceae.